AAUAUGAAGUAAAUCUGCAUAUUGACUGUAUAAAGCAGUUAUGUCUUAUUGAAUUUAAUACCCACACAGAAUUAAGUACUUGACAAUAACAAGUGAGAAGAAUAAAUGUAAUUAAAACAUUCUCUGUUCCUUGCUUUGUUACGGCAGGAAGCAAAAGAACUAAGUAAUAUUAGACUAAAAGGAUGCACAUUGUAGUUCAUAGGAUAGCCUCCAAAGUAGGUUCUUAAAGUGUGCUACCUAGAUCAACAGCAGCACCACCAGGGAACUUGCUUUAGUUCACAAUACAAUUAAAAGUUCUGUAACUCACUUUAGUACCAUUCCAGAUUUAAUUCAGAGCUGACUUGUAUUUAACUGUCACUUCAAUUUGCCACAAAAAAUAACUUUAUUUCCUUGUUUUAGAUGAGGCAGAAGGUAUGAGAUACUGUUUUGUUCAUUUAUUCAGCAGAUAUUUAGUAUGUCUAGACACAAUUCUAGAUACUGGAGAUAAGCUCUAAACAAAACUUUAUAGAAAGAAAAAUUAUGGCCCUCUUAGGAGACUUGUAAUUUUAUGUGCUGGAGGAGAUACACACACACAAAAAGUAAAUAUUAGAAGGUGACAAGUGCUUUGGAGAAAAACUAAGCAGGAAAAUAGCAUAGGAGGAUGCUGGAGCAGGGAGUUGUAGUUUUUAAUUGGUGGUGACAGAAUGCUGACCUGAGAAGCAGAGUUAAAGACUGGAAGGAGAUGAAAAUGUAAUCCAUGUUUAAAUGUAGAAGAUUUCAGGUGGAGUAAGCAGUUCGGAGGUCUAGAAGUAAAAAUGUGGCUAGUGUUCAAGCAACAGAAAGAAGGCCAAUAUUGCUGCACUACAGUGAUCUAGGUGGGAGCAGUAGAUGAUUUCAGAACAGUGAAGAAGAGCUGUUUAAAGAGAGCAUUGUGUAGCAUUGUAAGAUUUUGAGCAAAGUAGUGACAUAAUCUGUCUUAAAAUUUUGAAAAAUCAUUUUGGCUGUUUUGUAGAGAAUAGACAUAAGGUGUCAGCACUGGAAUCAGGAAGGCUGUUACAUAAUUAUCCAGAGAAGAUUAGAUAGUGGUAAGCCAGUGAGAGGUAAUCAUGUUCAUAUUUUGAAUUUGGAAUGAAUAGGAUUGCAAGGAGAUUACAUGUGGAGAAUAACAGAAAAAUCUAGGAUGACAGUAAGGUGGGUGUUUUUUUCCCCCAAGCAUUUUUAAGCACAGAAUUGCGUUAAGAUGGAAGCGACUACUAGAGGAACUGCCUUACAGGAGAGGAUCAGGGGAGAAGACAAGGAAUUGACUUCUAGACUGGCUAAGUUUGAGAGUUACUAAAAAUACUAAGUAGAGAUGACAAGUUUGGAAUUCAUAGGAAAGUUGUAAACUGGUUAAGUUUGAGAUGUUACUUGCCAAUGGACAUGCCAGUUGGAGUUCUUAGCAGAUUGUGGGGCUAGAUGUAAAAAUUUUGUAGCUGUCAAAGAUAUUUAAGCAAGAAAUGGGAUGAGUUCUCUCCAGGGGAGUGUACUUCACAGUGCUCCAGUGUUCAGUGAUUGUGAAGAAUCAACAAAAAGACUGAGAAAGCAUGGUUAUCAAUAGUUAGAAAGUUGGGGUAACCAUUGUGGCUCAGUGGUAACAAACCCAGCUAGUAUCCAUGAAGAUGUAGGGUUUGAUCCCUGCCCUUGCUCAGUGGGUUAAGGAUCUGGUAUUGCCGUGACUUACAGUGUAGGUCGCAGAUGCAGCUCGGCUCUGGCAUUUCUGUGGUUGUAGUGUAGGCCUGCAGCUACAGCUCAGAUUCAAACACUAGCCUGGGAACUAUAUGCCACGGGUGCAGCCCUAAAAAGACAAAAAAAUUUUUGGAAAAUUGGUGCCUGGGAAGCCAAGUGAAGACAGUCAAGGAGGAGGAAUGGAUGGCUUUGUCAGAUGCUACUACUAAUAUAAGUAAGAUGAACCAAAAAAAAAAGGAAUGGUACGACAUAAGUUUGGAGUGGUUUUAAGAAAGAAAGAGAAGGGAGAAGUUGGAGAUGGAGAAGUACAAAGAACUGUUUUGGAGAAUAUGAAAAUAAUACCAUGUUUAAUCUCACCUAUAUUAUUUAAGACAUGAAAUCAAUGGCUGUCUCUAAAAAAGCCACACAAUUCAUUAUCUCUCUCUGUUUGAUUUCUGUACUACCUAAUUUUGAUCACAAGAAAGAGAUCAAUUUAAGGACAUUUAACUUUGAAAGUUUUUUUGUAUUUGGGCAUAUAUUAGUGGUAUAUCAAUCUACUACACAACUUAGAAUAGAUUUACAAGGAGAUCCUGCUGAAUAGCAUUGAGAACUAUGUCUAGAUACUCAUGUUGCAACAGAAGAAAGGGUGGGGGAAAAACUGUAAUUGUAAUGUAUACAUGUAAGGAUAACCUGACCCCCUUGCUGUACAGUG
RNAcentral lists this long non-coding RNA (2395 nucleotides) under Sus scrofa (pig). Its description in RNAcentral is "lncRNA (ENSSSCG00055007080.1)". Lineage: Eukaryota; Metazoa; Chordata; Mammalia; Artiodactyla; Suidae. The record is from RNAcentral.